Molecule: ribosomal RNA, 322 nt
Filed under: uncultured bacterium
Lineage: Bacteria
Description: bacterial SSU rRNA
Rfam family: Bacterial small subunit ribosomal RNA
Source: RNAcentral
AUUGAACGCUGGCGGCAUGCCUUACACAUGCAAGUCGAACGGUAACGCGGGGGCAACCCUGGCGACGAGUGGCGAACGGGUGAGUAAUACAUCGGAACGUGUCCUGUUGUGGGGGAUAACCCAUCGAAAGGUGAGCUAAUACCGCAUGAUCUGGAGACAGCAAAGCAGGGGACCGGAAACGGCCUUGCGCGAUUGGAGCGGCCGAUGUCCGAUUAGCUAGUUGGCGGGGUAAAGGCCCACCAAGGCAACGAUCGGUAGCUGGUCUGAGAGGAUGAUCAGCCACACUGGGACUGAGAUACGGCCCAGACUCCUACGGGAGGCA